UGGUUCUGGCAUCGAUGAAGAACGCAGCGAAAUGCGAUAAGUAAUGUGAAUUGCAGAAUUCCGUGAAUCAUCGAAUCUUUGAACGCACAUUGCGCCCGCCAGUAUUCUGGCGGGCAUGCCUGUUCGAGCGUCAUUUCAACCCUCAAGCCUAGCUUGGUGUUGGGGAUCGGCCCGUCCCUAGCGGAUGGGCCGGCCCCGAAAUCUAGUGGCGGACUCGCUGUAGCCUCCUCUGCGUAGUAGCAAUAUCUCGCACUGGAAGCUCGGCAAGCCCACGCCGUUAAACCCCCCAAACUCUGAAAGGUUGACCUCGGAUCAGGUAGGAAUACCCGCUGA
RNAcentral lists this unclassified non-coding RNA (333 nucleotides) under uncultured fungus. Its description in RNAcentral is "partial contains 5.8S ribosomal RNA and internal transcribed spacer 2". The stretch from base 1 to 133 matches the Rfam family "5.8S ribosomal RNA", at positions 22 to 154 of the family's 154-position model. The record is from RNAcentral. Lineage: Eukaryota; Fungi.